This 510-nucleotide ribosomal RNA is filed under the name uncultured bacterium. Its description in RNAcentral is "bacterial SSU rRNA". It matches the Rfam family "Bacterial small subunit ribosomal RNA", at positions 28 to 521 of the family's 1533-position model. The record is from RNAcentral.
GACGAACGCUGGCGGCGUGCCUAAUACAUGCAAGUCGAGCGGACCAAAGGGAGCUUGCUCCUGGAGGUUAGCGGCGAACGGGUGAGUAACACGUGGGCAACCUGCCUGUAAGACUGGGAUAACAUCGAGAAAUCGGUGCUAAUACCGGAUAAUAAAAAGAACUGCAUGGUUCUUUUUUGAAAGAUGGUUUCGGCUAUCACUUACAGAUGGGCCCGCGGCGCAUUAGCUAGUUGGUGAGGUAACGGCUCACCAAGGCAACGAUGCGUAGCCGACCUGAGAGGGUGAUCGGCCACACUGGGACUGAGACACGGCCCAGACUCCUACGGGAGGCAGCAGUAGGGAAUCUUCCGCAAUGGACGAAAGUCUGACGGAGCAACGCCGCGUGAGUGAUGAAGGUUUUCGGAUCGUAAAACUCUGUUGUUAGGGAAGAACAAGUGCCGUUCGAAAGGGCGGCACCUUGACGGUACCUAACGAGAAAGCCACGGCUAACUACGUGCCAGCAGCCGCGGU